Lolium perenne is the source of this 728-nucleotide non-coding RNA. The record is from RefSeq and is a predicted model, not a curated record. Lineage: Eukaryota; Viridiplantae; Streptophyta; Magnoliopsida; Poales; Poaceae.
UUUUAAGGACUUGACUACGCGGCGGCGCCGCACAUCUGCCCUGCCCGUGCGACGGUUUCGGGCCCACCCACGUUAGCUGGCUGGCGCAGCACAUCCCACCCACGACGUUUUCUUCUCGCUCAAGACAAAUCGAUUGGGCCCCACCCACGUGACGAGAGCGCGCGUAGCAAGCGGGAAAAAUGCCUCCCUCCCGACAGCUCUCCUGCCAGCCCCACCCCAUUAAUUAGCCAGGUGGUCCCUACCCCUGACGAUCUCCUUCUUCCUCAAGACAAAUCAGCCUGAAAACAGAACUAGAUCUUGAGGAGAGAACGACGAACAGGAUCUGAAGAAGGGGAAAACCAUGGCAGAGAAACUGAAGACCUCCUACAUCUAGAAGAACUAAAAUUCGAAGAUUCCAAUACAGGUUGCAGAAAAGGAGAUGAACAUGAAUAUGCAAAUGGAAGUACCAGCAGUUACUUUAUCAGAUCAUGCAGGAUCUAGUAAGACAGGAACACACAAUGAAGGGGGCAGCUCCAUAGCUCUGUCAUCUGAGGCAGCAUACACUGAGAUUACACUUCCGGAAUCCAGUGGUCAGCACACUCCUCCACGUGGACAGAACAUUGGCAAUGAAGCAAAUCCAGAAGUAGUGUCGACCCCGCAUGCGCCAACUGCAAGCAUGAGAUUCGAUACACUUGAAGAUGCCCAGCGGCACUACUUGGCAUUUGCACGCAGGAGGGGUUUUGGAAUAA